UGGCUUCUGAGACGCAGGUCCUCAACAUCUGACUUUUUUCCCCAGGUACAUAUGCAAAAAUUAAAAAUAAAAGUUCUUUCUAUUUCAGCUGAAAAACCAUCAUGGUGUUACACAAUUCGUACUGUUAUGGUCCCAUCUCCCACUUCCAAACGCAAGUCAUAUUCAAGCUGGCUCAAACAGGGACCCGCCAUCAGUCUAGGAAUUAACAUCACUAACUAUGGUGGGAGGACUUCAGUCUAAAGCAGAAAGGAGGAUAUGAAAUGGAGAAUAUCAUUCAAGUGCCUCUGAAGAACGGAACUUAAGAACAGAGAGCCUAAUUUCCUGGAAAUGCAAGACACAGCUUUACCUUCUGACCAGGGAACAUCUGCCAGGAGUCUCUCCUCAUCCUCAAGCCAAUGACCUUACUUUUUGAACCCUGGCUGGAUGACCCCAUCUUUGGACUCCUUGCCCAUACAUACAGGUCAUCCCAAGCCCUCAUCAGAUUCCCCAUGACUUGCAAUAGCAUGUGUUUUCCAAAUUGCAAUUUCUCUGCUAUUCCCAAGUAAACUAGGUUUCUGGUAAUUCAAGCUUGCCUCAGUUUACCUUUUUAUUUAGACUGACACUAAUAAUGUAACUUUGGUCAGGUUAUUUAGUAUCUCUAGGCUACAGUUACCUAAUUUAUAAAGUGAGAAUAACAAUACUACCAAUGUUAGAGAUUGCUGGGAGGAUUAAAUGAGUUAAUACUACUAUCAUCUAAAUAUUGAGAAGUGCUUCAGGAAUAAUUAGCAAAUAGUAAGCAAUCUAAAUAGAUAACUUUUACCCUUUAUCAGUAGAUAUUUUUAAUGGAGCAAUAAAAAGUGAGGGGAGUUGAGAAGUAUGUUCUAGAACCUGAUUUUUCAAAUAGUGUAUGUUAAAGACAUUCUUUAAAAAAAAAAAAUUACUUAGAGGCACCUGGCUGGCUCAGUUGAGAGCAUGCGACUGUUGAUCUCGGAGUUGUGAGUUCAAGCCCCAUGUUGGGUGUACAGAUUACCGAAAUAAAUAGACUUAAAAAGAACACUCUAAAAAAAAGAAACACACAUCUCUUCUUUAAAAGAAACUACUUAAAUGUCUGAGCUUUUCUCCUAUUUGUGGAGAAUCACAGUGGAUGUCACCUGAAUUAUGAAUAGUAUGGAUGUGAAAAUCAAGUGUCAUGUAUUAAAUAUGUUU
This 1185-nucleotide long non-coding RNA is filed under the name Canis lupus familiaris (dog). RNAcentral's name for it is "lncRNA (ENSCAFG00000058462.1, ENSCAFG00805012083.1)". The stretch from base 929 to 999 matches the Rfam family "tRNA". Lineage: Eukaryota; Metazoa; Chordata; Mammalia; Carnivora; Canidae. The record is from RNAcentral.